RNAcentral lists this ribosomal RNA (1392 nucleotides) under Triticum aestivum (bread wheat). RNAcentral's name for it is "partial small subunit ribosomal RNA". Lineage: Eukaryota; Viridiplantae; Streptophyta; Magnoliopsida; Poales; Poaceae. The record is from RNAcentral.
AUGUCUUCCUCCGGCUCCUUCUCGCCUAGUCUCAAUAGUCAGGUUAUAGAGAAGCUGUCUCGCACGAACUACGUGCUGUGGCGCACACAGAUCACACCUCAACUGCGCGGUGCCGGUGUCUUCGGCUACGUCGACGGCACCAUCCCGGAGCCGGCCAAGCUCCUCGUCACCACCAAGGAUGGCAAGGAGACUUCACCGCCCAACCCUCUCCACCCUAUAUGGGUACGGGAGGAUCAGCAGGUCCUUGGCUACCUGCUGAACAACCUCACAAAAGAGGUCCUGGUCACAGUCACCACGGCAAGCGCGCUCUGGACGAUGCUUGCUGCCAUGUUCUCGUCACAAUCGGCGAGCCGCAUCAACAACAUCAGCACCUCCCUCAUCAAUGCGCAGAAGGGUAACCUCUCGGUUGCCUCCUACUUUGCCGCAAUGCAUGGCUAUGCCGACGAACUGGCCGCGGCGGGCAAGGCCAUCCAGGAUGAUGAGCUUGUCUCGUACAUCAUUCAUGGAUUGGAGGCGGACUACCAACCUCUGGUGUCGGCUCUCGACGCCCGUGUCACCCCUGCAACCCUCGAUGAGCUCUUCACCAUGCUGUCCAACUUCGACCAGCGCAUGGCCCAGUACCACGACUCCGGCGGCUUCAAGUCUUCUGCAAACAUGGCGUCUCGUGGCCGGGGUGGUGGAUCCCGCUCGCGUGGCUCUCCUCGCUACAAAGGGCGAUCUGGUGGCGGUGGCGGGAACGACCGCGGCCACUCUCCUCAGCGCUCGGGCAGCCGAGGCCGCGGACGCGGUGGCAGCAACAUAACGCGCCCGAAGACUCCAAGGUGCCAGAUCUGCAGGAAGCCCGGUCACACAACAAAAGAUUGCUGGUGCCGGUAUGAUGAUGAUGAUGAUUCUCAAGACGAUGACAAGGUGGCUGCCGCCGCCGAUGACUCCUACGGCGUUGACACAAAUUGGUACGUUGACAGCGGGGCUACAAACCACAUCACGAAUGAGCUUGAGAAGGUAACCAUGAAGGAAAAAUACUGCGGCAAAUAUCAGAUCCAUAGUGCCAGCGGAGAAUGUAUGGGAAUAAGUCACAUCGGUCACUCUAUAUUUCGUACCCCUAGUCGCAAACUACACAUUAAGAAAAUCUUGCAUGUCCCUAGUGCACACAAAAAUCUUCUUUCCGUCCAUAGAAUUGCCAUUGAUAAUCAUGUUUUUCUUGAAUUUCAUCCUUUUUUCUUUUUGAUCAAGGAUCAGGCAACGAGGAAAAUCCUCUAUCGAGGUAGAUGUGUUCGAGGGCUCUAUCCGUUGAUUCUGGAGUUUAGAAGAUUCAAUAAACAAGCUUGUGGUGCUAUCAAGCUUUCGUCCACACGAUGGCAUGAUCGUCUAGGACAUGCCUCUUUUUCUUAG